UGACUGUGAUGGGGCUGAGCUCAGAUGGGUCUGGGACCUUUUAUAUGAUCUGGAAUUUAAUACAUUGGGAAACAAGCUUUCUGAAAUAGUUUAUCAUAAGUAAAAUAUUGGUUGUGUGUGUGUGUGUGUGUGUGUGUGUGUGUCACUUUUGCUCAGAAAAGCAUUGCCUUAUGGCAUUGAAGACAGUCAA
This 190-nucleotide small RNA is filed under the name Brugia malayi. RNAcentral describes it as "RNA transcript Bm16881". Lineage: Eukaryota; Metazoa; Nematoda; Chromadorea; Rhabditida; Onchocercidae. The record is from RNAcentral.